RNAcentral lists this ribosomal RNA (117 nucleotides) under Paramormyrops kingsleyae. The record is from RNAcentral. Lineage: Eukaryota; Metazoa; Chordata; Actinopteri; Osteoglossiformes; Mormyridae.
AUCAGCAGCUGUGCCAUGUAUAAGUCAGCCUAGGAAAUCCAUCUGAAGCUAAGCAGGUUUGGGCCUGGCCAGAACUCGGAUGGGAGACCCAGCAGAAAAGCUGGGUUGCUGCUGGAA